This 492-nucleotide ribosomal RNA is filed under the name uncultured bacterium. RNAcentral's name for it is "partial 16S ribosomal RNA". It matches the Rfam family "Bacterial small subunit ribosomal RNA", at positions 29 to 507 of the family's 1533-position model. The record is from RNAcentral.
AGUGAACGCUGGCGGUAGGCCUAACACAUGCAAGUCGAACGGCAGCACAGUAAGAGCUUGCUCUUACGGGUGGCGAGUGGCGGACGGGUGAGGAAUACAUCGGAAUCUACUUUUUCGUGGGGGAUAACGUAGGGAAACUUACGCUAAUACCGCAUACGACCUACGGGUGAAAUCAGGGGAUCUUCGGACCUUGCGCGAUUGAAUGAGCCGAUGUCGGAUUAGCUAGUUGGCGGGGUAAAGGCCCACCAAGGCGACGAUCCGUAGCUGGUCUGAGAGGAUGAUCAGCCACACUGGAACUGAGACACGGUCCAGACGCCUACGGGAGGCAGCAGUGGGGAAUAUUGGACAAUGGGCGCAAGCCUGAUCCAGCCAUACCGCGUGGGUGAAGAAGGCCUUCGGGUUGUAAAGCCCUUUUGUUGGGAAAGAAAAGCAGCAGGUUAAUACCCCGCUGUUCUGACGGUACCCAAAGAAUAAGCACCGGCUAACUUCGUG